UACGGAGGAUGCAAGCGUUAUCCGGAAUUAUUGGGCGUAAAGCGUCCGUAGGUGGCUAAUCAAGUCUGCUGUCAAAGCGUGGAGCUUAACUCCAUAACGGCGGUGGAAACUGAUGAGCUAGAGUGCGAUAGGGGUAGCAGGAAUUCCCGGUGUAGCGGUGGAAUGCGUAGAGAUCAGGAGGAACACCGGUGGCGAAGGCGGAUCUCUGGGCCAUUACUGACGCUGAGGAGCGAAAGCGUGGGGAGCGAACAGG
RNAcentral lists this ribosomal RNA (253 nucleotides) under uncultured bacterium. Its description in RNAcentral is "partial 16S ribosomal RNA". It matches the Rfam family "Bacterial small subunit ribosomal RNA", at positions 524 to 776 of the family's 1533-position model. The record is from RNAcentral.